GCCACCCUAGCUCAAUUGGACAGAGCGGCGGUAUCGUAAACCGCAGGUUGACGGUUCAAUUCCGUCGGGUGGCUCCA
Molecule: transfer RNA, 77 nt
Filed under: Patescibacteria group bacterium
Lineage: Bacteria
Description: tRNA-Thr
Rfam family: tRNA
About the family: Transfer RNA (tRNA) molecules are approximately 80 nucleotides in length. Their secondary structure includes four short double-helical elements and three loops (D, anti-codon, and T loops). Further hydrogen bonds mediate the characteristic L-shaped molecular structure. tRNAs have two regions of fundamental functional importance: the anti-codon, which is responsible for specific mRNA codon recognition, and the 3' end, to which the tRNAs corresponding amino acid is attached (by aminoacyl-tRNA synthetases). tRNAs cope with the degeneracy of the genetic code in two manners: having more than one tRNA (with a specific anti-codon) for a particular amino acid; and 'wobble' base-pairing, i.e. permitting non-standard base-pairing at the 3rd anti-codon position.
Source: RNAcentral